RNAcentral lists this ribosomal RNA (210 nucleotides) under uncultured bacterium. RNAcentral's name for it is "partial 16S ribosomal RNA". It matches the Rfam family "Bacterial small subunit ribosomal RNA", at positions 29 to 267 of the family's 1533-position model. The record is from RNAcentral.
AUGAACGCUGGCGGUAUGCUUAACACAUGCAAGUCGAACGGGAUGCUUCGGCAUCUAGUGGCGGACGGGUGAGUAACGCGUGAGAAUCUGGCUUCAGGUUCGGGACAACAGUGGGAAACUGCUGCUAAUACCGGAUGUGCAGGAAUGUGAAAGAUUAAUUGCCUGAAGAUGAGCUCGCGCCUGAUUAGCUAGUUGGUGGGUAAGAGCCCA